CGGACGGGUGAGUAAUGUCUGGGAAACUGCCUGAUGGAGGGGGAUAACUGCUGGAAACGGUAACUAAUACCGCAUAACGUCGCAAGACCAAAGAGGGGGACCUUCGGGCCUCUUGCCAUCGGAUGUGCCCAGAUGGGAUUAGCUAGUAGGUGGGGUAACGGCUCACCUAGGCGACGAUCCCUAGCUGGUCUGAGAGGAUGGCCAGCCACACUGGAACUGAGACACGGUCCAG
Molecule: ribosomal RNA, 232 nt
Filed under: uncultured bacterium
Lineage: Bacteria
Description: partial 16S ribosomal RNA
Rfam family: Bacterial small subunit ribosomal RNA
Source: RNAcentral